This is a long non-coding RNA of Hemibagrus wyckioides, 585 nucleotides long. RefSeq lists it as uncharacterized. The record is from RefSeq and is a predicted model, not a curated record. Lineage: Eukaryota; Metazoa; Chordata; Actinopteri; Siluriformes; Bagridae. The transcript has 3 exons.
UAUUGUUAUUAUUGUUAUUAUUAUUAUUAUUAUUAUUAUUAUUAUUAUUAUUAUUAUCGCUACCAAAAUAUAUAGAACCAGCACCAUCCCGAGAACAUGGCUAUGGAUCCAAGUUCCAGUCAGCGGUGAUGAUCGGAUCCCAACACCGAUAGCACGGGUUAUUCUGGUUCACGCCGAUGUUGUAGAGAUGCAGGACAGUGGGAAUAAUUGAAACUAAUUGCCCACGCUGUGGAUCUGAGGUGCCGGCAUCACCCGACUCUGUAGUGGAGAGAAGGAAACGAAACUGUGAGAGAGAAGAAAAGGAGAGAGGAAGCGUCGGCUUAUCAGGAUAAUCGCACCUCGCCUGUCUGGCUGUCACGAGCGGGAGAGAGGAAACACACCUUUGAUCCCUGAGCCUGGAACACUUCAGCUCUACAAGACAGCUCAUUGGCCUCGGGGCUUUUUCUUUUUUUUUUUUGGUGCUAUCUGGAGAGGCAGUGACAUAAAAAUUAGAUGGAUAUAUGGCUAAAAGAAAGUUUGUGUGUGUGUGUGUGUGUGUGUGUGUGCAUAUUAUUAAAUUAAUACUUUAAUGUCUUUCAGUAUGAU